This 429-nucleotide ribosomal RNA is filed under the name uncultured bacterium. Its description in RNAcentral is "bacterial SSU rRNA". It matches the Rfam family "Bacterial small subunit ribosomal RNA", at positions 355 to 776 of the family's 1533-position model. The record is from RNAcentral.
UGGGGAAUAUUGGACAAUGGGGGAAACCCUGAUCCAGCGACGCCGCGUGGGUGAAGAAGGCCUGCGGGUUGUAAAGCCCUUUCGGUGGGGAUGAAAAGCCUUGGUCUAACACACCAGGGUCUUGACCUAACCCAAGAAAGAAGCACCGGCUAACUCUGUGCCAGCAGCCGCGGUAAUACAGAGGGUGCGAGCGUUAAUCGGAAUUACUGGGCGUAAAGCGCGCGUAGGCGGCUUUGCAAGUCGGAUGUGAAAUCCCCGGGCUUAACCUGGGAACUGCAUUCGAGACUGCUUUGCUUGAGUAUGGGAGAGGGAGGUGGAAUUUCCGGUGUAGCGGUGAAAUGCGUAGAUAUCGGAAGGAACAUCAGUGGCGAAAGCGACCUCCUGGACCAAUACUGACGCUCAUGUGCGAAAGCGUGGGGAGCAAACAGG